This 1317-nucleotide ribosomal RNA is filed under the name Thermococcus acidaminovorans. RNAcentral's name for it is "16S ribosomal RNA". It matches the Rfam family "Archaeal small subunit ribosomal RNA", at positions 13 to 1322 of the family's 1478-position model. The record is from RNAcentral. Lineage: Archaea; Methanobacteriati; Methanobacteriota; Thermococci; Thermococcales; Thermococcaceae.
CCUGCCGGAGACCACUGCUAUGGGGGUCCGACUAAGCCAUGCGAGUCAUGGGGGUGUCCCUUUGGGACACCACCGGCGGACGGCUCAGUAACACGUCGGUAACCUACCCUCGGGAGGGGGAUAACCCCGGGAAACUGGGGCUAAUCCCCCAUAGGCCUGAGGUACUGGAAGGUCCUCAGGCCGAAAGGGGCUCUGCCCGCCCGAGGAUGGGCCGGCGGCCGAUUAGGUAGUUGGUGGGGUAACGGCCCACCAAGCCGAAGAUCGGUACGGGCCAUGAGAGUGGGAGCCCGGAGAUGGACACUGAGACACGGGUCCAGGCCCUACGGGGCGCAGCAGGCGCGAAACCUCCGCAAUGCGGGCAACCGCGACGGGGGGACCCCCAGUGCCGUGGCACAGCCACGGCUUUUCCGGAGUGUAAAAAGCUCCGGGAAUAAGGGCUGGGCAAGGCCGGUGGCAGCCGCCGCGGUAAUACCGGCGGCCCGAGUGGUGGUCGCUAUUAUUGGGCCUAAAGCGUCCGUAGCCGGGCCCGUAAGUCCCUGGCGAAAUCCCACGGCUCAACCGUGGGGCUUGCUGGGGAUACUGCGGGCCUUGGGACCGGGAGAGGCCGGGGGUACCCCUGGGGUAGGGGUGAAAUCCUAUAAUCCCAGGGGGACCGCCAGUGGCGAAAGGCGCCCGGCUGGAACGGGUCCGACGGUGAGGGACGAAAGCCAGGGAGCAAACCGGAUUAGAUACCCGGGUAGUCCUGGCUGUAAAGGAUGCGGGCUAGGUGUCGGGCGAGCUUCGAGCUCGCCCGGUGCCGAAGGGAAGCCGUUAAGCCCGCCGCCUGGGGAGUACGGCCGCAAGGCUGAAACUUAAAGGAAUUGGCGGGGAGCACUACAAGGGGUGGAGCGUGCGGUUUAAUUGGAUUCAACGCCGGGAACCUCACCGGGGGCGACGGCAGGAUGAAGGCCAGGCUGAAGGUCUUGCCGGACACGCCGAGAGGAGGUGCAUGGCCGCCGUCAGCUCGUACCGUGAGGCGUCCACUUAAGUGUGGUAACGAGCGAGACCCGCGCCCCCAGUUGCCAGUCCUCCCCGCUGGGGAGGAGGCACUCUGGGGGGACCGCCGGCGAUAAGCCGGAGGAAGGAGCGGGCGACGGUAGGUCAGUAUGCCCCGAAACCCCCGGGCUACACGCGCGCUACAAUGGGCGGGACAAUGGGAUCCGACCCCGAAAGGGGAAGGGAAUCCCCUAAACCCGCCCCCAGUUCGGAUUGCGGGCUGCAACUCGCCCGCAUGAAGCUGGAAUCCCUAGUACCCGCGUGUCAUCAUCGCGCGGCGAA